This 72-nucleotide transfer RNA is filed under the name Cavia porcellus (domestic guinea pig). It matches the Rfam family "tRNA". From Rfam's summary of the family: Transfer RNA (tRNA) molecules are approximately 80 nucleotides in length. Their secondary structure includes four short double-helical elements and three loops (D, anti-codon, and T loops). Further hydrogen bonds mediate the characteristic L-shaped molecular structure. tRNAs have two regions of fundamental functional importance: the anti-codon, which is responsible for specific mRNA codon recognition, and the 3' end, to which the tRNAs corresponding amino acid is attached (by aminoacyl-tRNA synthetases). tRNAs cope with the degeneracy of the genetic code in two manners: having more than one tRNA (with a specific anti-codon) for a particular amino acid; and 'wobble' base-pairing, i.e. permitting non-standard base-pairing at the 3rd anti-codon position. Lineage: Eukaryota; Metazoa; Chordata; Mammalia; Rodentia; Caviidae. The record is from Rfam by way of RNAcentral.
UGGGGUGGAGCUCAGCGGUACAGCACCUGCUUAGCAUGCGCGGGAACCUGGGUGCAAAACCCAGCACUGCAA